GAUGAAGAACGUAGCGAAAUGCGAUACGUAAUGUGAAUUGCAAAUUCAGUGAAUCAUCGAGUCUUUGAACGCACAUUGCGCCCCCUGGUAUUCCGGGGGGUAUGCCUGUCCGAGCGUCAUUGCUGCCCUCAAGCACGGCUUGUGUGUUGGGCCCCGUCCUCCGAUCCCGGGGGACGGGCCCGAAAGGCAGCGGCGGCACCGCGUCCGGUCCUCGAGCGUAUGGGGCUUUGUCACCCGCUCUGUAGGCCCGGCCGGCGCUUGCCGAUCAACCCAAAUUUUUAUCCAGGUUGACCUCGGAUCAGGUAGGGAUACCCGCUGAACUUAAGCAUAUCAAUAAGCGGAGGA
RNAcentral lists this unclassified non-coding RNA (345 nucleotides) under soil metagenome. RNAcentral describes it as "partial contains 5.8S ribosomal RNA, internal transcribed spacer 2, and large subunit ribosomal RNA". The stretch from base 1 to 119 matches the Rfam family "5.8S ribosomal RNA", at positions 35 to 154 of the family's 154-position model. The record is from RNAcentral.